GAUGAACGCUGGCGGCGUGCCUAAUACAUGCAAGUCGAGCGAACGGACGAGAAGCUUGCUUCUCUGAUGUUAGCGGCGGACGGGUGAGUAACACGUGGAUAACCUACCUAUAAGACUGGGAUAACUUCGGGAAACCGGAGCUAAUACCGGAUAAUAUUUUGAACCGCAUGGUUCAAAAGUGAAAGACGGUCUUGCUGUCACUUAUAGAUGGAUCCGCGCUGCAUUAGCUAGUUGGUAAGGUAACGGCUUACCAAGGCAACGAUGCAUAGCCGAUCUGAGAGGGUGAUCGGCCACACUGGAACUGAGACACGGUCCAGACUCCUACGGGAGGCAGCAGUAGGGAAUCUUCCGCAAUGGGCGAAAGCCUGACGGAGCAACGCCGCGUGAGUGAUGAAGGUCUUCGGAUCGUAAAACUCUGUUAUUAGGGAAGAACAUAUGUGUAAGUAACUGCGCACAUCUUGACGGUACCUAAUCAGAAAGCCACGGCUAACUACGUG
This 497-nucleotide ribosomal RNA is filed under the name uncultured bacterium. RNAcentral's name for it is "partial 16S ribosomal RNA". It matches the Rfam family "Bacterial small subunit ribosomal RNA", at positions 28 to 507 of the family's 1533-position model. The record is from RNAcentral.